This 459-nucleotide long non-coding RNA is filed under the name Scleropages formosus (Asian bonytongue). RNAcentral describes it as "lncRNA (ENSSFOG00015027873.1)". The record is from RNAcentral. Lineage: Eukaryota; Metazoa; Chordata; Actinopteri; Osteoglossiformes; Osteoglossidae.
CUCGAGGGGAAGGUCGAGGGGCCCCAACGGUGCUCGCCGGAGGCUUUCUUUCUCUGACUACGCGUGUGGUAUUUGGAGAGCCGCGGCCGAGCGCUUUCCGUAACGCGGCGCCGGUGUGCGACUGCAGGGAAGCCAAGGGGUCAGUUGCUGUACCGUUGAAGCGGGUUUCCUGCUGCGUGUAAUGGAAAUUGCGCAUGUCAUCACCAGUGAGCGCACAGAGGAAAAUGUUCUCCUUUCCUGGGUGACUCACCGCCGUUCUCACACGCAGGCCCAGCAGGUCACCCACCAGCACUGUUCAGCCAGAGCUGUGUUCCAGCACUCAGGAGAUGAAUACAUCUCAACCUGAAAAAUGACAUACUUUAAAGGCAUUAUGGAGCAAGACUGAAUGCGCACCCACUGAAAGUGACUAAAUGAAGAUUUUCGGAGAGAACGACGGAACAGCAGAAGGUCGGUGAAACC